This 253-nucleotide ribosomal RNA is filed under the name uncultured bacterium. Its description in RNAcentral is "partial 16S ribosomal RNA". It matches the Rfam family "Bacterial small subunit ribosomal RNA", at positions 524 to 776 of the family's 1533-position model. The record is from RNAcentral.
UACGUAGGGGGCGAGCGUUGUCCGGAUUUACUGGGCGUAAAGCGCGCGUAGGCGGAGCGUUAAGUCCGGUCUGAAAGCCCCCGGCUCAACCGGGGAAGGUGGCUGGAAACUGGCGUUCUGGAGGGCGGCAGAGGCGUGUGGAAUUCAUGGUGUAGCAGUGAAAUGCGUAGAGAUCAUGAGGAAGACCAGUGGCGAAGGCGGGUCUCUGGACAGUUCCUGACACUGAGGCACGAAGGCCAGGGGAGCAAACGGG